AACGAACGCUGGCGGCAGGCUUAACACAUGCAAGUCGAGCGAGACCAUCGGGUCUAGUGGCGGUCGGGUGAGUAACGCGUGGGAACGUGCCCUUAUCCACCGAAUACUCCUGGGACACUGGGAGUAAUACAGUAAACGUUAUUCGAGGGACAGAUUCAUCGGAGAAGGAUAGGCCGGCGUUGUAUUAGGUAGUUGGUAGGGAAAGGGCCCAUCACGCCUUCGCUACAUAGCUGGUUUGAGAGGAUGCGAAGCCACACUCGGACGGAGACACGGCCCAGACUCCUAGAGGAUGCAGCAGUGGGUAAUCUAAGACUAUCGGGGCAACGCUGAUCGAGCCAUGCCUCGUGAGUGAUGUAGUCCUUAGAGUUGUAAAGCACUUUCAGCUGGGAAUAUAAUGACGGUACCAACAGAAGAAGCCCCGGCUAACUCCGUG
RNAcentral lists this ribosomal RNA (433 nucleotides) under uncultured bacterium. RNAcentral describes it as "partial 16S ribosomal RNA". It matches the Rfam family "Bacterial small subunit ribosomal RNA", at positions 29 to 507 of the family's 1533-position model. The record is from RNAcentral.